AUACGUAGGGAGCGAGCGUUGUCCGGAAUUACUGGGUGUAAAGGGUGCGUAGGCGGGACUGCAAGUCAGAUGUGAAAUGCCGGGGCUCAACCCCGGAGCUGCAUUUGAAACUGUGGUUCUUGAGUGAGGAAGAGGUAAGCGGAAUUCCUUGUGUAGCGGUGAAAUGCGUAGAUAUUAGGAGGAACAUCGGUGGCGAAGGCGGCUUACUGGGCCUUUACUGACGCUGAGGCACGAAAGCGUGGGGAGCAAACAGGAUUAGAUACCCUGGUAGUCCACGCUGUAUACGAUGAUGACUAGGUGUGGGGGGACUGAACCCUUCCGUGCCGCAGUUAACACAAUAAGUCAUCCACCUGGGGAGUACGGCCGCAAGGUUGAAACUCAAAUGAAUUGGCGGGG
This 396-nucleotide ribosomal RNA is filed under the name uncultured bacterium. RNAcentral's name for it is "partial 16S ribosomal RNA". It matches the Rfam family "Bacterial small subunit ribosomal RNA", at positions 523 to 918 of the family's 1533-position model. The record is from RNAcentral.